Molecule: ribosomal RNA, 2869 nt
Filed under: wallaby gut metagenome
Description: bacterial LSU rRNA
Rfam family: Bacterial large subunit ribosomal RNA
Source: RNAcentral
AGGGCGUACGGUGGAUGCCUGGGCUCCGGAAGGCGAUGAAGGACGUGGCAAGCUGCGAAAAGCCAUGGGGAGGUGCAGGCGACCUUUGAUCCAUGGAUAUCCGAAUGGGGCAACCCGGCGGACUGACGGUCCGUCAUCCUUACGAUGUAAGGAGGCAAACGCUGGGAACUGAAACAUCUUAGUACCAGCAGGAAGAGAAAACAAAAUGUGAUUCCCCAAGUAGUGGCGAGCGAACGGGGAAUAGCCCAAACCGCCCCCAUUCCGGUGGGGUCGGGGUUGUAGGACCGCGUCGUGGCAAGAGUCAAACGAGAAGAAGUGUCUGGAAAGUCACACCAUAGCGGGUGAUAGUCCCGUAUUCGAAGAAUGACGAAGCCUAGCGGUAUCCUGAGUAGCGCGGGACACGUGAAAUCCCGUGUGAAUCCGGCGGGCCCAUCCGCCAAGGCUAAAUACUCUCCGGAGACCGAUAGUGAACAAGUACCGUGAGGGAAAGGUGAAAAGCACCCCUAGCAGGGGAGUGAAAGAGUCCCUGAAACCGUACGCCUACAAGCUGUCAGAGCGGACCCGUUCCGUGAUGGCGUGCCUUUUGCAUAAUGAACCUACGAGUUACCGUCAGCGGCGAGGUUAAGUCCCACGAGGGACGCAGCCGAAGCGAAAGCGAGUCUGAAUAGGGCACAUAGUCGCUGGCGGUAGACGCGAAACCGAGUGAUCUACCCAUGGCCAGGUUGAAGUUCCGGUAACACGGAAUGGAGGACCGAACCGAUAAGCGUUGAAAAGCUUCCGGAUGAGCUGUGGGUAGGAGCGAAAGACCAAUCAAACUCGGAGAUAGCUCGUACUCCCCGAAAAGCAUUUAGGUGCUGCCUGGGGUGUUUCCCGUGUGAGGUAGAGCGACCGGUUGGAUGCGAGGGCUUCACCGCCUGUCAAGUCCUGUCGAACUCCGAAUGCGCACGGGUGAAGCCCUGGAGAAAGGGGGCGGGUGCUAACGUCCGUUCCCGAGAGGAGAAGAAUCCUGACCGCCGGCUAAAGUCCCGGAGUCACAGCUAAGUUAGGCUAACGAAGUCCUUUCCCCAUGACAGCUAGGAUGUUGGCUUGGAAGCAGCCAUUCAUUCAAAGAGUGCGUAACAGCUCACUAGUCGAGGGAUCGGGCAUGGAUAAUAAUCGGGUAUGAAGCUGUGCACUGAAGCCGCGGGAUCCUUAUGGAUCGGUAGGGGAGCAUUCCGGUCAGCGUCGAAGCUGAAGGCGUGAGCCGCAGUGGAGCGUCCGGAAAAGCAGAUGUAGGUAUAAGUAACGAUAAAGGGGGUGAGAUUCCCCCUCGCCGUAAGACCAAGGGUUCCCGGGCGACGUCAAUCGUCCCGGGGUAAGCCGGACCCUAAGGAUAAGCCGAAAGGCGAGGCCGAUGGAAGAGCUGGUCAAUAUUCCAGCGCUGGCUGCAUGUGUGACGCGGGGACGCGGAAGUGAAACCUCCGCCGGCUGACGGAAUAGCCGGUUGAAGGGUGUAGGAGUCGAGAGGCGCAGGCAAAUCCACGCCUUGAUCCGAACCUGACAGUACACGACGGGCUUCGGCCCCGAGUGAUAGCGAGGGUAAGCAUACCGCCGAGAAAAUCCGCUAAACUCCAGCAUGCAGGCAUCCGUACUCUAAACGGACACACGUGGUCGGGUAGAAUAUACCAAGGCGCUUGGGUGAUUCGUGGUUAAGGAACUAGGCAAAUUGACCCUGUAACUUCGGGAUAAAGGGUCCUCACUGCAAGGUGAGGCGCAGAGAAUAGGUCCAGGCAACUGUUUACCAAAAACACAGGACUGUGCCAAGCAUAGAGGCUAUGUAUACAGUCUGACACCUGCCCGGUGCCGGAAGGUUAAGAGGAGUGCUCAGAGCAAUCGAAGGCAUGAAUUGAAGCCCCGGUAAACGGCGGCCGUAACUAUAACGGUCCUAAGGUAGCGAAAUUCCUUGUCGGGUAAGUUCCGACCUGCACGAAUGGUGUAAUGAUCCGGACACUGUCUCAACCACGAGCCCAGUGAAAUUGUAGUAUCGGUGAUGAUGCCGAUUACCCGCGAUGGGACGAAAAGACCCCGUGAACCUUUACUGCAGCUUAGUGCUGCGUCCGGGCAUCGGAUGUGUAGGAUAGGCCGGAGGCUAUGAAGCGGGCACGCCAGUGUUCGUGGAGCCGCCGUUGAAAUACGGCCCUUCCGCUGUCUGGACGCUAACUUGCGAUGCAAGGACACCGCUUGGCGGGCAGUUUGACUGGGGUGGUCGCCUCCAAAAGAGUAACGGAGGCUCCUAAAGGUGCCCUCAGGACGAUUGGUAACCGUCCGCAGAGUGUAAUGGCAAAAGGGCGCUUGACUGGGAGGCAGACAUGCCGAGCAGGUGGGAAACCAGAGCAUAGUGAUCCGGUGGUUCCGCAUGGAAGGGCCAUCGCUCAAAGGAUAAAAGGUACUCCGGGGAUAACAGGCUGAUGAUUCCCAAGAGCUCAUAUCGACGGAAUCGUUUGGCACCUCGAUGUCGGCUCGUCACAUCCUGGGGCUGGAGAAGGUCCCAAGGGUUGGGCUGUUCGCCCAUUAAAGUGGCACGCGAGCUGGGUUCAGAACGUCGUGAGACAGUUCGGUCUCUAUCUAUCGUGGGCGCAUGAGAUUUGCGCGGCUCUGGCACUAGUACGAGAGGACCGUGCCGGACUGACCUCUGGUCUGCCAGUUGUGCCGCCAGGUGCACCGCUGGGUAUCUAAGUCGGGAUCGGAUAAGCGCUGAAGGCAUCUAAGCGCGAAGCCGGCCGCAAGAUGAGAUCUCACAGGGUCGUCAAAGACGAUGACGUUGAUAGGAUGCAGGUGUAAAGGUGGUGACGCCAAAGCCGAGCAUUACUAAUAGCCCGUCGGCUUUGCC